GGGGCACGGGGGGCCUACGGGAGGCAGCAGUGGGGAAUUUUGCGCAAUGGGCGGAAAGCCUGACGCAGUAACGCCGCGUGGAGGGAUGAAGGCCUUCGGGUUGUAAACUCCUGUCAGGAGGAACGACGGCAGGGAGCUGAAUAAUCUCCUUUGUCAGACGGUACCUCCAAAGGAAGCCCCGGCUAUUCCGUGCC
RNAcentral lists this ribosomal RNA (194 nucleotides) under uncultured bacterium. RNAcentral describes it as "partial 16S ribosomal RNA". It matches the Rfam family "Bacterial small subunit ribosomal RNA", at positions 321 to 509 of the family's 1533-position model. The record is from RNAcentral.